GCUGGGCGAUGCGCUGUGGGAGCGGGUCGGCCGCGAGCCGUCCGGCACCGCGUUCAAUUCGCUCGUUCAGCUC
This 73-nucleotide transfer RNA is filed under the name Burkholderia diffusa. RNAcentral's name for it is "tRNA-Arg". The record is from RNAcentral. Lineage: Bacteria; Pseudomonadati; Pseudomonadota; Betaproteobacteria; Burkholderiales; Burkholderiaceae.